Molecule: transfer RNA, 119 nt
Filed under: Ustulina deusta
Lineage: Eukaryota; Fungi; Ascomycota; Sordariomycetes; Xylariales; Xylariaceae
Description: Kretzschmaria deusta tRNA-Leu
Rfam family: tRNA
About the family: Transfer RNA (tRNA) molecules are approximately 80 nucleotides in length.
Source: RNAcentral
GGGAGUUUGGCCGAGUGGUUAAGGCGCUGUGUUUAGGUCAUAGGCUCUAGGCUUUAUGCCGGCUUAUACCAUAAAUCCCGCAGUGGGAAACCGCGCAGGUUCGAAUCCUGCAGCUCUCA